GCUUAACACAUGCAAGUCGAGCGAGAACGUCGACUUCGGUCGACUAGUACAGCGGCGAACGGGUGAGUAACACGUGGGCAACCUGUCUUGGAGUGGGGGAUAACCUGGGGAAACUCGGGCUAAUACCGCAUACGUUCUCGGCACUGAGUGUGCUGAGAGGAAAGCUGGCCAAUUCUUGAAAGCUGGCGCUCUUUGAGGGGCCCGCGCCCGAUUAGCUUGUUGGUGGGGUAACGGCCCACCAAGGCUGCGAUCGGUAGCCGGCCUGAGAGGGUGAUCGGCCACACUGGGACUGAGACACGGCCCAGACUCCUACGGGAGGCAGCAGUGGGGAAUAUUGGACAAUGGGCGAAAGCCUGAUCCAGCAACGCCGCGUGGGAGGACGAAGGCCUUCGGGUCGUAAACUCCUGUCAGGUUGGGACGAAAAGCUGCCGGUCAAUAGCCGGCAAGUCAUGACGGUACCAGGCAGAGGAAGCCCCGGCUAACUCCGUGCCAGCAGCCGCGGUAAUACGGAGGGGGCUAGCGUUAUUCGGAAUUAUUGGGCGUAAAGGGCACGUAGCGGCUCGGUAAGUCAAAGGUGAA
This 579-nucleotide ribosomal RNA is filed under the name uncultured bacterium. RNAcentral's name for it is "bacterial SSU rRNA". It matches the Rfam family "Bacterial small subunit ribosomal RNA", at positions 46 to 598 of the family's 1533-position model. The record is from RNAcentral.